UUAUAGCGUGAGGGAUAGAAGCGGCAUCCUUUUGUCGUGUUUUUGCGAACAAAAGAUAUAGCGGAUAGCCUGACCCGUU
RNAcentral lists this small RNA (79 nucleotides) under Epilithonimonas hungarica. RNAcentral describes it as "Chryseobacterium hungaricum Flavo-1 RNA". It matches the Rfam family "Flavo-1 RNA". Lineage: Bacteria; Pseudomonadati; Bacteroidota; Flavobacteriia; Flavobacteriales; Weeksellaceae. The record is from RNAcentral.